Molecule: ribosomal RNA, 482 nt
Filed under: uncultured bacterium
Lineage: Bacteria
Description: partial 16S ribosomal RNA
Rfam family: Bacterial small subunit ribosomal RNA
Source: RNAcentral
AUUGAACGCUGGCGGCAUGCUUUACACAUGCAAGUCGAACGGUAACAGGCCGCAAGGUGCUGACGAGUGGCGAACGGGUGAGUAAUGCAUCGGAACGUGCCCAGUCGUGGGGGAUAACUACUCGAAAGAGUAGCUAAUACCGCAUACGAUCUAUGGAUGAAAGCGGGGGACCGUAAGGCCUCGCGCGAUUGGAGCGGCCGAUGUCAGAUUAGGUAGUUGGUGGGGUAAAGGCUCACCAAGCAAACGAUCUGUAGCUGGUCUGAGAGGACGACCAGCCACACUGGGACUGAGACACGGCCCAGACUCCUACGGGAGGCAGCAGUGGGGAAUUUUGGACAAUGGGCGCAAGCCUGAUCCAGCAAUGCCGCGUGCAGGAAGAAGGCCUUCGGGUUGUAAACUGCUUUUGUACGGAACGAAACGGCUCUGGUUAAUACCCGGGGCUAAUGACGGUACCGUAAGAAUAAGCACCGGCUAACUACGUG